GGUGCAUGAGACAUUCAGUGUGCGGUCAGAUGUGAGCCGUUUACUCUGCGGUACAUCAGCCCACAACAGCUCCUCUAAUCGACAUCACCCCUCCUCCUCCUUCCCAUUUUGUAUGAUCUCAGGGAAAAUGGUAUUUCAGAGCAGAGGUUGUGUUGACAGAGCCCGAGACAGCACAGAGCACAAGGCCGACCUUUCACCUUUCACCCUCCUCCUACCGACCCCAAACCUGGAAACACAGGAAGAAAGCAAGGUCGCCCAGAUGAGAGUGUCUGUCAACACGCAGAGGGAAUUGAAAGCUGGUUCAGAGGAAGGGAGGGGGAGACAGAAGUGAGGAGGGGAGGAGAGGGGUGCUGACAUUUGUGCUGGGAUAUAGAAAAGAGGAUAUAGAAACAUGCUGAAUGAAUCAGGCUGACCAAUAACUUUAAGAGCUCCAGUAAAUUGCUCUGUAUUUUGCUGGAGAUUAAACAGAAGGACAGUCAUAAUAGGAGCAGCCAGUUGAUCUCAUUCA
Non-coding RNA from Xyrichtys novacula (pearly razorfish), 508 nucleotides. NCBI's taxonomy places the organism in Eukaryota, Metazoa, Chordata, Actinopteri, Labriformes, Labridae. The record is from the annotation of a GenBank genome assembly.